GUGACUAACACAAGGAAGUUGGGGGCAAUACCAGGUCUGUGAUGCCCUUAGAUGUUCUGGGCUGCACGCGCGCUACACUGAUGCGCUCAACGAGUUUAUGACCUUGCCCGGCAGGGUUGGGUAAUCUUCUUAAAACGCAUCGUGAUGGGGAUAGAUUAUUGCAAUUAUUAAUCUUCAACGAGGAAUGCCUAGUAAGCGUGAGUCAUCAGCUCGCGUUGAUUACGUCCCUGCCCUUUGUACACACCGCCCGUCGCUACUACCGAUUGAAUGGCUCAGUGAGGCCUUCGGACUGGCU
This 295-nucleotide ribosomal RNA is filed under the name uncultured eukaryote. Its description in RNAcentral is "partial Eukaryotic small subunit ribosomal RNA". It matches the Rfam family "Eukaryotic small subunit ribosomal RNA", at positions 1426 to 1720 of the family's 1831-position model. The record is from RNAcentral.